GGGGAUUUAGCUCAGUGGUAGAGCGCUUGCCUAGCAAGCAGAAGGACCUGGGUUCGGUCCCCAGCUCCG
Rattus norvegicus (Norway rat) is the source of this 69-nucleotide non-coding RNA. The record is from Rfam. NCBI's taxonomy places the organism in Eukaryota, Metazoa, Chordata, Mammalia, Rodentia, Muridae.